RNAcentral lists this ribosomal RNA (449 nucleotides) under uncultured bacterium. RNAcentral describes it as "partial 16S ribosomal RNA". It matches the Rfam family "Bacterial small subunit ribosomal RNA", at positions 29 to 523 of the family's 1533-position model. The record is from RNAcentral.
AACGAACGCUGGCGGCAUGCUUAACACAUGCAAGUCGAACGAGACAUUCGGGACUAGUGGCUCACGGGUGCGUAACGCGAGGGAAUCUGCCCUUUGCUACGGAAUAACUCAGAGAAAGUGGUGCUAAUACCGUAUGAUGUCGCAAGACCAAAAAUUUAUCGGCAAAGGAUGAGCCCGCUUAGGAUUAGCUUGUUGGUGAGGUAAAAGCUCACCAAGGCGACGAUCCUUAGCUGGUCUGAGAGGAUGAUCAGCCACACUGGGACUGCGACACGGACCAGACUCCUACGGGAGGCAGCAGUGGGGAAUAUUGGACAAUGGGCGAAAGCCUGAUCCAGCAAUGCCGCGUGAGUGAUGAAGGCCUUAGGGUUGUAAAGCUCUUUUACCAGGGAUGAUAAUGACAGUACCUGAAGAAUAAGCUCCGGCUAACUCCGUGCCAGCCGCCGCGGUAA